AGCACGACAGAAGAGAGCGAGGAAGCAACAUACGUUGCACAACACCGAAUAACAAGAGAUUGAAGGAGUAGGAGGGAUCAACGCUGCGUUUCCGCAUUCCUCUAUGCCUCCCAAACUUAGGCCUGAAAUUUGUACCACUACUACACAAUCUUUCUAAAGAAAUUCUGAAUUAUCUUGCAUGUAUGGUCUGUAUGCAUGGUGCAUGGAUAUGUAUCUAUCUCUUCUUUGCCAAAGUUCCGUCACGUUUCUCUUGCUUACUGAAGCAACUAUCUUUGGCUCCAGCCGCUAGCUACUCCUUUUAAGAAAGAGCAAGGGCAUCAUCUUUAAUUGGGUCUACUUCAAUGCAACAACCGUGUAGUGGAUGCAGAAAUUAACGUGCCUCAAGACCGGUGUACUAAUUUAGGACAGUAAAACUGAGCCUAAUCUCUGUCCUCUCAGCGUUUCGCGUUUCUGGCCAUCCGUACUACGGAUUUGCACGUUUUUAGCCGUCUGAUCUUGAGUGUGCAGCGAUCUCUCCCGCACCUUUCAAUUUUUGGCCCAGCUGUCCUAAGGCCCGCUACUCCAGAGGCCGAAUCGAAGCCAUCUGGUCAACUAGGCCUUUUCGCAGCCCAGUUAGCGAAGCAGUACACUCCGUGACCUCGCCAUGCCGCCGAUCUCGCGGUCAGCGAAAACAGAUCGCCGCAUCGAUUGGAUCGGUCAAUGGUGUGCCUGCCCCGCCGCUGCCAUGGCCACCAUCCAUCGGAGAAUCCUCCUGCCGCCAUAGAUCGCCGCAUCGACCCUCGCCAUAUAUUCAUGACAACUCUUCCCUUCUCCACCUUCACAACGGCGGCACGGGUUGUGGUGAUGCAGAGGCAGUUAUAGGGUUCCGCUCCACAGAAUCAGGUCUACCGGUAGUCGAGAGCUAACCCUCCUUUCGAUUCUACCUCAAUAAAAGAAAGAAAUAGAUGGCGAUACAGAGAGAUGUUGUCGACGCGGGGAUCAGCCGAUCCAUUAAUGGAAACAAAAUUGAACCAAUUCAACCGACUGGAAUCGUUUCAAUCAAGCAUUGAUCGAGCAACGAUGAGGAUUCGUGGUUUGAAGUUGAUCCCGUCAGCUUCUCGAUGGGCAACCUAAUCGAUUGACAUGUGCACACUUAACCGAAGGUACAAAUUUACCAUGCAACUGCAUUGUGUUUGAAGCACUUCCAGGCCCAUCAUUUGGGCCAAAAAGAAUCAACUAGCCGAAAGGGAUCCAAAUUCUUCCUAAUGAGCUAGGUAGGCCACAGCAACAUCUAAGUCCAUCUGGACCGGUUCUGGAUUUCCAUUUUUGGUACUUCAUAGUUAAUGCAUGAGGAUAUGUUCUGAAUGGUGGUACAUAAUUACAAAAGUAUAAUACAACUAAAUGUUGAUUUGUAGAAACAUGGGUAUCUGUACUGAAUUGGAGCCAGAAUUAUAAAAGUAUGUAUGACUUUAUGCAUGUGUGUGAGAAUCACCCUGCUAAUACCAUCAUAAGCAGAAUAACAAACAACUAGGCUAUAGUUAAAAGUUUACCGGUGGAGACUAGGAGGAUUACAAAUUUCAUAUUCCCUGAAUUGUACACAAAUUAUUAGGGGUAAAAACCGACAACAACACCGAUUCAAGCUCAUGACCACCUCAUCGAUUCAAGCCGCAGUUCAACCAUUUCAACGAUCGAUGUUUCUUCAUACAAGUCAGGUAAAGGUGCAAAGAAGAAGCAAAAUGGAAAAUAAAAUUGAGAACCUCUCACUCCAUAAGAUUCAAGCCCUAUAGAGGUUAUUAUAUUAGUCCUAUAGGAUAAUGAGAGUCGUGUGCUUAAUUUCCACCUCGGUAACAUCGUCACUGGCGCUAGAGAAAAUAGGGAUCUUGUUACAAGUAUUACAAAAAAUGGUAUCCUCCAUUUUGACGAUGAACACAAGAAUAAAAAUAGGGAUCUGGCUUCAUCAACUUGAAUGUAGAGGCCAAGGUUAUCCUCUUUUUCAAAAAUACUUUUUUUCUUAUUACGUUAUUAGCUUUGGGGUUCUUAUUGUUUAGAUUCUAAAAUGCCCUUGCUUUGAUGUUGUAUGAAUGUAAUUUUGCGGGAUAUAGUAACUGAACCUUGUGGCUUUCUAUAAAUCCAGGUGAUAACCAUGUCUAUACAAGACCUGGUUGCUCCAAAGCUCGAUAUGUGUGUGUUAAUUCACAUAUACAACAAUUUGGUAGUCGCAUGCCAUUUUUACCUCACCAAGCAUAUGGGACUAAGGUGAUAAACAUCAACAAGGUGAUUUUAGUGUCGACGUGGGUGGUGGCGGGAGUUGUGGCUGCGUUGAAGCAUGCCUGUCAUCUCAUAAGGCAUGCCUUGAGGGGGGCGCUAUUAAGCAAGUGUCUCGAGAGCCCAAAGGAGACGAGAAGCAAGCAACAUGCAUGACACUACAUUAAGUUGAUAGAGAUAUAUGAGAAAACAUACUUUUUAGCUUUGCUGCAUUCCUCAAUGUCUCCCGAAACUUACACUAGAAAUAUGAUGUAUCAAUAUACAUUGUUUGCCUAGUUUCACAUCCAUUACCAAAAGACAGACGGCCAAGUGCAUAGAAGCC
RNAcentral lists this long non-coding RNA (2566 nucleotides) under Hordeum vulgare. RNAcentral describes it as "long non-coding RNA (HVUL_LNC000185)". Lineage: Eukaryota; Viridiplantae; Streptophyta; Magnoliopsida; Poales; Poaceae. The record is from RNAcentral.